GAGUUUGAUCAUGGCUCAGGAUGAACGCUAGCGGCAGGCCUAAUACAUGCAAGUCGAACGGCAGCACGGUGUAGCAAUACAUUGGUGGCGAGUGGCGCACGGGUGCAUAACACGUAUGUAAUUUGCCCAUAACUGGGAGAUAGCCUUCCGAAAGGAAGAUUAAUACCCCAUAACCCAGCGAGGUGGCAUCACUUUUCUGGUAAAGCUCCGGCGGUUAUGGAUAAGCAUGCGUCCGAUUAGCUAGUUGGCGAGGUAAAAGCUCACCAAGGCAACGAUCGGUAGGGGGUCUGAGAGGAUGAUCCCCCACACGGGUACUGAGACACGGACCCGACUCCUACGGGAGGCAGCAGUAAGGAAUAUUGGACAAUGGAGGCAACUCUGAUCCAGCCAUGCCGCGUGAAGGAUGAAGGCGCUACGCGUUGUAAACUUCUUUUCUACUAGAAAAAACAUUUGGUUUCGUACCGAAUCUGAUUGUACAGUAGGAAUAAGCAUCGGCUAACUUCGU
RNAcentral lists this ribosomal RNA (505 nucleotides) under uncultured Sphingobacterium sp. RNAcentral describes it as "bacterial SSU rRNA". It matches the Rfam family "Bacterial small subunit ribosomal RNA", at positions 9 to 506 of the family's 1533-position model. Lineage: Bacteria; Pseudomonadati; Bacteroidota; Sphingobacteriia; Sphingobacteriales; Sphingobacteriaceae. The record is from RNAcentral.